UACGUAGGGUGCAAGCGUUAAUCGGAAUUACUGGGCGUAAAGCGUGCGCAGGCGGUUAUGCAAGACAGAGGUGAAAUCCCCGGGCUCAACCCGGGAACUGCACUUGAAACUGCGCGUCUUGAGUACUGGAGAGGGUAGUGGAAUUCCUGGUGUAGAGGUGAAAUUCGUAGAUAUCAGGAGGAACACCGGUGGCGAAGGCGGCUACCUGGACAGUCACUGACGCUGAGACGCGAAAGCGUGGGGAGCAAACAGG
RNAcentral lists this ribosomal RNA (253 nucleotides) under uncultured bacterium. Its description in RNAcentral is "partial 16S ribosomal RNA". It matches the Rfam family "Bacterial small subunit ribosomal RNA", at positions 524 to 776 of the family's 1533-position model. The record is from RNAcentral.